This 522-nucleotide ribosomal RNA is filed under the name uncultured Actinomycetes bacterium. RNAcentral describes it as "bacterial SSU rRNA". It matches the Rfam family "Bacterial small subunit ribosomal RNA", at positions 130 to 650 of the family's 1533-position model. The record is from RNAcentral. Lineage: Bacteria; Bacillati; Actinomycetota; Actinomycetes.
CCCCUUCUUUGGGAUAACGCCCGGAAACGGGUGCUAAUACUGGAUAUUCACUGGCCUUCGCAUGGGGGUUGGUGGAAAGGGUUUUUCUGGUGGGGGAUGGGCUCGCGGCCUAUCAGCUUGUUGGUGGGGUGAUGGCCUACCAAGGCUUUGACGGGUAGCCGGCCUGAGAGGGUGACCGGUCACAUUGGGACUGAGAUACGGCCCAGACUCCUACGGGAGGCANCANUGGGGAAUAUUGCACAAUGGGCGCAAGCCUGAUGCAGCGACGCCGCGUGAGGGAUGGAGGCCUUCGGGUUGUGAACCUCUUUCGCUCAUGGUCAAGCCGCAACAAUGGUUGUGGUGAGGUUAGUGGGUAAAGAAGCGCCGGCUAACUACGUGCCAGCAGCCGCGGUAAUACGUAGGGCGCGAGCGUUGUCCGGAAUUAUUGGGCGUAAAGGGCUUGUAGGCGGUUGGUCGCGUCUGCCCGUGAAAUCCUCUGGCUUAACUGGGGGCGUGCGGUGGGUACGGGCUGACUUGAGUGCG